This 1281-nucleotide ribosomal RNA is filed under the name Salmonella enterica. RNAcentral's name for it is "partial 23S ribosomal RNA". It matches the Rfam family "Bacterial large subunit ribosomal RNA", at positions 1 to 1310 of the family's 2925-position model. Lineage: Bacteria; Pseudomonadati; Pseudomonadota; Gammaproteobacteria; Enterobacterales; Enterobacteriaceae. The record is from RNAcentral.
GGGUUGUGAGGUUAAGCGACUAAGCGUACACGGUGGAUGCCCUGGCAGUCAGAGGCGAUGAAGGGCGUGCUAAUCUGCGAUAAGCGCCGGUAAGGUGAUAUGAACCGUUAUAACCGGCGAUACCCGAAUGGGGAAACCCAGUGUGACUCGUCACACUAUCAUUAACUGAAUCCAUAGGUUAAUGAGGCGAACCGGGGGAACUGAAACAUCUAAGUACCCCGAGGAAAAGAAAUCAACCGAGAUUCCCCCAGUAGCGGCGAGCGAACGGGGAGGAGCCCAGAGCCUGAAUCAGCAUGUGUGUUAGUGGAAGCGUCUGGAAAGACGCGCGAUACAGGGUGACAGCCCCGUACACAAAAGCGCAUGUGUUGUGAGCUCGAUGAGUAGGGCGGGACACGUGGUAUCCUGUCUGAAUAUGGGGGGACCAUCCUCCAAGGCUAAAUACUCCUGACUGACCGAUAGUGAACCAGUACCGUGAGGGAAAGGCGAAAAGAACCCCGGCGAGGGGAGUGAAAAAGAACCUGAAACCGUGUACGUACAAGCAGUGGGAGCACAGGUUUACCUGUGUGACUGCGUACCUUUUGUAUAAUGGGUCAGCGACUUAUAUUCUGUAGCAAGGUUAACCGAAUAGGGGAGCCGGAGGGAAACCGAGUCUUAAUUGGGCGUUAAGUUGCAGGGUAUAGACCCGAAACCCGGUGAUCUAGCCAUGGGCAGGUUGAAGGUUGGGUAACACUAACUGGAGGACCGAACCGACUAAUGUUGAAAAAUUAGCGGAUGACCUGUGGCUGGGGGUGAAAGGCCAAUCAAACCGGGAGAUAGCUGGUUCUCCCCGAAAGCUAUUUAGGUAGCGCCUCGUGAACUCAUCUCCGGGGGUAGAGCACUGUUUCGGCUAGGGGGCCAUCCCGGCUUACCAACCCGAUGCAAACUGCGAAUACCGGAGAAUGUUAUCACGGGAGACACACGGCGGGUGCUAACGUCCGUCGUGAAGAGGGAAACAACCCAGACCGCCAGCUAAGGUCCCAAAGUCAUGGUUAAGUGGGAAACGAUGUGGGAAGGCCCAGACAGCCAGGAUGUUGGCUUAGAAGCAGCCAUCAUUUAAAGAAAGCGUAAUAGCUCACUGGUCGAGUCGGCCUGCGCGGAAGAUGUAACGGGGCUAAACCAUGCACCGAAGCUGCGGCAGCGACACUCAGGUGUUGUUGGGUAGGGGAGCGUUCUGUAAGCCUGUGAAGGUGUGUCGUGAGGCAUGCUGGAGGUAUCAGAAGUGCGAAUGCUGACAUAAGUAAC